AGUCUCAGGGCGUUUGGCGAUGGGAUUCUCGGGUCUUGUACUUAAGCUUUGAAAAUGGGAGACGUCACAGUUUUGCUUUUCCUGGAGACAAGUAUUUUGCAGAAAUACAACUCACAACUACAUUGAAACAGGAGAACUGCUUGGUUCGGGAUGGCUAGAGAAUCAAGGGAAAGCACAACCCUGGACUCACACUCUGCAGAGGACCAGAUGGAGCUACUGGUCAUAAAGGUGGAACAAGAAGAGGUCUCCCCAUUGGCAGAGGAGACCAGUUGGCUGGGCAGUCCUGGGCCUGACCGACUGUCAUUGAACUGAAGCCGCUCUGGAGCUCUUAAUGACUGCAGAAGUCAUAGGCUAGGGCUCUAUUUAAUAAUGUACAUCCUCAGAUAUUAGGAAUCUGACUAAGACUUAUUAUCUUCUACAUUCUAGAAGGUGACUAUAAAAAAAAACUUAUUUCAUAGGAGAGUUGUCUGCAAGAGUUCUAACCUAUUGGAAUUAAAUGGGCUUCCUGACUGUC
Molecule: long non-coding RNA, 514 nt
Filed under: Rattus norvegicus (Norway rat)
Lineage: Eukaryota; Metazoa; Chordata; Mammalia; Rodentia; Muridae
Description: long non-coding RNA NONRATT013025
Source: RNAcentral